GGGGCUGACUGGUUUUGACAGCGUGUAGAAGUGGUGUGUAAGCGUGCGGAGCUUUGAGACAUAUGCUCUUUAAUAUCAGGUCUCGACCAAUCUAAAUGGCGAAAACAACUACGCUCUUGCUGCUUGAUUGAAGUACAGUAGGUCAGCUUAAUCGCCGCAACAGUUGCAGCGACAAGACAUCACCCGAUUGUCCUUUUUCCGAGACUAAUCGAUAUGGUGGUGCUAUUAUAUCGGAGAUAGGAAACCCGGCGCCUCGCAAGGCUUCCGAAAUUUUAGAGGUUAAGGCCGCGGUUGGUAGUUUCAGGCCUGCCGUAGCUCGAAAAUCAACUUGAGACUAAGCACGUAGAAAGCUCAUUAGUUCCGCGUUUGGACGAGGGUUCGAACCCCUCCAGCUCCACU
This 399-nucleotide transfer-messenger RNA is filed under the name human gut metagenome. It matches the Rfam family "transfer-messenger RNA". From Rfam's summary of the family: Bacterial tmRNA, also known as 10Sa RNA or SsrA, is named for its dual tRNA and mRNA-like properties. Its role is to liberate the mRNA from a stalled ribosome. To accomplish this part of the tmRNA is used as a reading frame that ends in a translation stop signal. The record is from RNAcentral.